GUCGUCAGAGCUGGAUCAGUGUACACGAACUAGCACAGCUCAGCUGAAGUCAAAAGCGGGAUGCUACUGCAAACAGGCAUCUGACUUCAUCUACAAAGCCAGCAAGUUGGUCCUUUCUAUUCGCACAAUCCGAAUGGCAUAUGCAUAAGAAACGAACUGCAGAUUAGUCUGUCUGCUUUGAGAACAGGAGCACAGACCACAUUAGGCCUGUGCAGUCCUCAUGAUGGACCCACGGAUGGAUCAGAUGAUCAGCAGGAGCGAAGAAUCAGACAAGCUCAUACUUCUGCAAAGGAAUUUACUGUAUAUCUCAGUGAUGCAGACUGCACAGUGUUUAACCUUCCCAGCCUGAGUUUAAAUGGGGUUGUGCAUGCACGUGUGUUAAAGCAUUGCUGGGCUAUGGAUAAUUUCUACUUUGCCAACUAACCUCAUAAGUACAAGGAAAAUCUUGCAUGGAAAGGACUGCAGAGUCGGUAUACAAAGGACAACACAAGCCAUAAUGCAUAGAAAUUUGGUAAAUGAACAGUUGAAAAGGUUCGCAUAAUGAAAUAAACCCUGCCAUUCGUCUAGCACGUUAGACAAGAAGGCCAAGAGUUUGAAUAUAUGGUCUAUUGGCUUGAUUGCUGUUGCGGGAUAUAAGAACACAGGAUCAUAUACCCAGCUCUCAAGAGACAAAAUUGAGUGCAUCACUCCUCUGCUUUCUCUUGCCUACUUUUUCUACACCAUCAGAGGCCUCUUAGGAUGCAGACUGCGGCCAGACAGGACACAUGAAGGACACAUGGAGAUAUGUCCAUUUUGGGGCCUCUAGGUGACUACUGUCAUGCAACUAAUUAUUAAUACUAUGAAUAAAGUUACAAACUCAAGCAGCAAGCUGAAACGGGAAGUGGUCCAAUCCUGCAUUUACGCCCUCACACUGCUGCAGAUCUGCUGGGUGAUGCCGUGCUCAUUGCUUGUCCAGAUGCCUCAGUUUCCACAUCUGUAACGAGGAGAUAAGUAUACCAACUGGCAUGCCUUAAAUACUUGGAGAU
Athene cunicularia (burrowing owl) is the source of this 1025-nucleotide long non-coding RNA. RefSeq lists it as uncharacterized. NCBI's taxonomy places the organism in Eukaryota, Metazoa, Chordata, Aves, Strigiformes, Strigidae. The transcript has 2 exons. The record is from RefSeq and is a predicted model, not a curated record.